Molecule: ribosomal RNA, 432 nt
Filed under: uncultured bacterium
Lineage: Bacteria
Description: partial 16S ribosomal RNA
Rfam family: Bacterial small subunit ribosomal RNA
Source: RNAcentral
ACGAACGCUGGCGGCAUGCCUAACACAUGCAAGUCGAACGAGACCUUCGGGUCUAGUGGCGCACGGGUGCGUAACGCGUGGGAACCUGCCCUUAGGUUCGGAAUAACUCCCCGAAAGGGGUGCUAAUACCGGAUAAUGUCUUCGGACCAAAGAUUUAUCGCCUUUGGAUGGGCCCGCGUUGGAUUAGCUAGUUGGUAGGGUAAAAGCCUACCAAGGCGACGAUCCAUAGCUGGUCUGAGAGGAUGAUCAGCCACACUGGGACUGAGACACGGCCCAGACUCCUACGGGAAGCAGCAGUGGGGAAUAUUGGACAAUGGGCGAAAGCCUGAUCCAGCAAUGCCGCGUGAGUGAUGAAGGCCUUAGGGUUGUAAAGCUCUUUUACCCGGGAUGAUAAUGACAGUGCCGGGAGAAUAAGCUCCGGCUAACUCCGUG